AUUUUAGUUGCCAGCAUUUAGUUGGGCACUCUAAAGUGACUGCCGGUGCAAGCCGGAGGAAGGUGGGGAUGACGUCAAAUCAUCAUGCCCCUUAUGACCUGGGCUACACACGUGCUACAAUGGAUAGUACAAAGGGUCGCGAAGCCGCGAGGUGGAGCUAAUCCCAUAAAACUAUUCUCAGUUCGGAUUGUAGGCUGCAACUCGCCUACAUGAAGCCGGAAUCGCUAGUAAUCGUGGAUCAGCAUGCCACGGUGAAUACGUUCCCGGGCCUUGUACACACCGCCCGUCACACCACGAGAGUUUGUAACACCCGAAGUCGGUAGGGUAACCUUUAUGGAGCCAGCCGCCGAAGGUGGGACAGAUAAUUGGGGUGAAGUCGUAACAAGGUAGCCGUAUCGGAAGGUGCGGCUGGAUCACCUCCUUU
This 424-nucleotide ribosomal RNA is filed under the name Enterococcus faecalis. Its description in RNAcentral is "partial 16S ribosomal RNA". It matches the Rfam family "Bacterial small subunit ribosomal RNA", at positions 1108 to 1533 of the family's 1533-position model. RNAcentral also lists the same sequence under 1 other name. Lineage: Bacteria; Bacillati; Bacillota; Bacilli; Lactobacillales; Enterococcaceae. The record is from RNAcentral.